CCCUUAGAUGUUCUGGGCCGCACGCGCGCUACACUGAUGCAUUCAACGAGUUUUGUUUGUUCCUUGACCGAGAGGCCUGGGCAAUCUUUUGAACUUGCAUCGUGAUAGGGAUAGAUUAUUGCAAUUAUUAAUCUUGAACGAGGAAUUCCUAGUAAACGCAGAUCAUCAAUCUGCAUUGAUUACGUCCCUGCCCUUUGUACACACCGCCCGUCGCACCUACCGAUUGAAUGGUCCGGUGAAGCCUCGGGAUUGUGGUUGGUUUCCUUUAUUGGAGAUUGAUUGCGAGAACUUGUCUAAACCUUAUCAUUUAGAGGAAGGUGAAGUCGUAACA
Molecule: ribosomal RNA, 331 nt
Filed under: uncultured eukaryote
Lineage: Eukaryota
Description: partial 18S ribosomal RNA
Rfam family: Eukaryotic small subunit ribosomal RNA
Source: RNAcentral